AAGUAGGGGUACUUAAGUUUUUGAUUGGUUAACUUAAAAGUUACUGAUUGAAAGACAAAGAGAGUUUGAUUCACUCUUCACAAUGCUUUGAUCUGCAUUCUGAUUCUAGCAGUUCUUUCUGUGGAAGUGGAUAGCAUUCUUUGUCAUAAGUUCCUCAUAAUUGUCCUAGAUCAUUGUAAACUACUAAGAGUAGCUAAGUCUUUGACCGUAGGCCAUUCUACAAUAUUGUGGUAACUGUGUACAGUGUUCUCCUUGUUCUGCUUAUUUCACUCUGCAUCAGUUCAUGUUGGUCUUUCCAGCUCUUUCUGAAACCAUACUAUUCAUUAUUUCUUCCACUGCAAUAGUAUUCCAUUAUUAUCAUAUACCACAAUUUGCUCAUCCAUUCCUCAAUUAAUAAAUAUUCCUUCAAUUUCCAAUUCUUGUCAUCACAAAAAGAACAGCCAUAAAUAGUUUGGUACAAGUAAGUCCUUCCCCCCCCUUUUAAAAAUCUCUUUAGGACACAGACCUAGUAUUACAUGGUUUUACAGUGAUAUUACAGGAUCAAAGGGUAUGCAUUGUUUUAUAGCCCUUUGGACAGAGUUCCAAAUUGUUGGAUCAGUUCAAAACUCCACCAGUAUGUUAAUACCUAAUGGAAAAAAAAAAAGAAUUGCUUUAUUCUAAGCUUUUGUAUUCUUUUUGUUUGAUUAAUUAAAAAUAUAAUCUUUUGAAUGAUUCCUGGGUGGGAAAAUCAGCUCCCUAAUUUAUAAAGAGAUAGCUCAAGGGAAGAGAUCACGUGUCCCUUCUUGCUAGCCACCAACAACCUAUACUGAUCCCCCUUGGCUUUACAGGGAAUGUGCUCCUGGCACUCUGGACAGUGGAACUGAACCAGCUAAGUGACAUCAUUAUCCUAGUGGUGAAAUGCAGCCUGGAAAUACAGGAGAAGUUUGGAGUCUGCCAUACCAGGGAAGACCAGGAUCUUCAGAUAAUGAUAGCUAAGAGAUAUGUGGAUCAUAGACCCAUUUGAUUUUGAUGAGCACUUUGAAAAGUACAGUGAUUACGUUCCACAUUAUCCUACAGAUAAAGUAUCUCUGAGAAAUGCUGUGGCUUUGGAUCCAGACCCCAGACUUGAGCAAAACUUGUAGAAGCACAUAAUGGGAAACUUUCUAAAGGUUUGCACUUUCUUCAGUGUGUUUGGCUUUCCAGGUUAUAAGAAGCCAGAUGAGUGUGUCCAUGCCUUGGAGAGCUCCUUUAGCAUCUUUAGUUUCUGCUGGGAAAAUCUUGCUGAGACCAAGUGAGAAGGAAGGUGGGGCAGAGAUGAACCUCUUAGGCCCCAGGGUUCUCAAGGAGAGUUUAAAUAUUAUCUCAGAAUAUCUAUUAUGGAGGAUUCUGUAUAUUGUGAAACUUCUCUACAUGAUGUUGACUGAUUACUAAACUGAGUUUAUUACCAGAUAUUAGUCUUCUCUAAAUGAACACUCUAAUGCAAAUACCAACAACAUGGAAAUGGGUUCGAAUCAAGAACACAUGUGAAACCCAAUGGUGUGAAACAAGGCUGUGUCCUCGCUCCGGUACUAUUCAACCUAUUUUUCACCCAAGUAUUAUGACAUGCUGUGAUGGAUCUAGACCUGGGCGUCUACAUCAAAUAUCGACUGGAUGGCUCACUAUUCAACCUUCGCCGCCUACUGCAAAAACAAAGACAACAGAGAGACUCAUCCUGGAAGCUCUCUUCGCAGAUGACUGUGCUCUCAUGGCCCACCAAGAAAAUCAUCUCCAAACCAUUGUGGACAGGUUCUCCACCGCAACAAAACUGUUUGGCCUGACUAUCAGCCUCAGCAAAACAGAGGUGCUGUUCCAACCUGCACCAGGGAGGCCAACUAACCAGCCGUGCAUUACAAUCGACGGCACGCAGCUUUCUAAUGUCAAUACUUUCAAGUACCUGGGCAGCACCAUCGCCAACGACGGGUCCCUAGACCAUGAGAUUAAUGCCAGGAUCCAAAAGGCCAGCCAGGCACUUGGGCGGCUGCGCUGCAAAGUCCUCCAACACAGAGGUGUAAGCACUGCGACGAAGCUCAAAGUGUAUAACGCGGUGGUCCUCAGCUCGCUCCUGUAUGGUUGCGAGACAUGGACACUGUACCAGAAGCACAUGAAACAGCUGGAGCAAUUCCACCAACGCUCCCUCUGGUCAGUCCUGAGGAUCAGAUGGCAGGACCGAAUCACCAACCAGGAAGUCCUCAACAGAGCCAACUCCACCAGCAUCGAAGUCAUGGUCCUCAAAACCCAGCUACGAUGGUCUGGACACGUCAUCCGCAUGGACCCACAGUGAAUACCAAGACAGGUAUUCUAUGGUGAACUGUCAGCUGGACUCAGGAAACAAGGCCGACCAAAGAAAAGAUUCAAGGAUCAGCUAAAGUCCAACUUGAAGUGGGCUGGCAUGACACCAAAGCAACUAGAACUCGCUGCCUCUGUCAGAAGCAGCUGACGAACCCACAUUGAUGAUGCCGCCACCACCUUUGAAGAUGAAUGACGUCGACAUCUUGCGGCUGUGCAUGAACGCCGACACCAGGCCACAACCGCACCUCCCGUAACAAUUGGCAUCCCAGGCCCCAUGUGCCACAAACUCUGCGCCUCAGUCUUUGGACUUCAAAGCCACAUGAGGGUACAUCAAUAGAUGAUAAUGCACAAAGACAAUUGUCAUUCUUGGACACUGAGAGACUACUACAUUAGUCUUCUCAUCUAUAGGGAUAUAACUGUAGACAAUCCUAUUCAUUCUUCCAAAAUCCCAGCAUUAGUCAGUAGGGAAUAAUUGUGUUUGCCCAAAGUCAUAUAACAAAAUUCCAACUGGAGUCCCAUUUAGUUUGUAUGACUUCUAUCAUCAUAAAAAAAGAGCUCUUGAGUGGGGAUUUAUCCAAGUUUGUUCUUUCUGUCUCCUAGGCUUCUUUCUAUCAGCAUCAUUAAUGGUCCAGUGUUCUCUGGAGUUAUUGGUGCACUAGCCAGGCAUGAAU
Molecule: non-coding RNA, 2978 nt
Organism: Monodelphis domestica (gray short-tailed opossum)
Lineage: Eukaryota; Metazoa; Chordata; Mammalia; Didelphimorphia; Didelphidae
Source: RefSeq, a predicted model, not a curated record